RNAcentral lists this ribosomal RNA (474 nucleotides) under Pseudomonas sp. NN018595. RNAcentral's name for it is "bacterial SSU rRNA". It matches the Rfam family "Bacterial small subunit ribosomal RNA", at positions 30 to 497 of the family's 1533-position model. Lineage: Bacteria; Pseudomonadati; Pseudomonadota; Gammaproteobacteria; Pseudomonadales; Pseudomonadaceae. The record is from RNAcentral.
AUUGAACGCUGGCGGCAGGCCUAACACAUGCAAGUCGAGCGGUAGAGAGGUGCUUGCACCUCUUGAGAGCGGCGGACGGGUGAGUAAUGCCUAGGAAUCUGCCUGGUAGUGGGGGAUAACGCUCGGAAACGGACGCUAAUACCGCAUACGUCCUACGGGAGAAAGCAGGGGACCUUCGGGCCUUGCGCUAUCAGAUGAGCCUAGGUCGGAUUAGCUAGUUGGUGAGGUAAUGGCUCACCAAGGCGACGAUCCGUAACUGGUCUGAGAGGAUGAUCAGUCACACUGGAANUGAGACACGGUCCAGACUCCUACGGGAGGCAGCAGUGGGGAAUAUUGGACAAUGGGCGAAAGCCUGAUCCAGCCAUGCCGCGUGUGUGAAGAAGGUCUUCGGAUUGUAAAGCACUUUAAGUUGGGAGGAAGGGCAGUUACCUAAUACGUAUCUGUUUUGACGUUACCGACAGAAUAAGCACCGGC